Molecule: ribosomal RNA, 444 nt
Filed under: Triticum aestivum (bread wheat)
Lineage: Eukaryota; Viridiplantae; Streptophyta; Magnoliopsida; Poales; Poaceae
Description: partial small subunit ribosomal RNA
Source: RNAcentral
AUGACUCGGAAAGUAAUAAUACCCUCGUUCGCUGGCAUAGGGUACCGCGAAUCGAAGACGAGCGAGCGCUUCGUACGCAGCAACUUCUAUGGCCAUAUGCGGAGUCGGCAUGGAUUUCCCCAUGAAGGAGACUUCCGUUGGGUCUUGGUUUGGGUUUGCGGGAGGGAUGUUCACCACUGCCCAAUAUUUCGAGGUGGAUGGGGUGAUCCUUUAUUUGAGCAACUCGUACUGGGGUGGAUGGAUAACACUCAUGGUACUGCAGGUAAAGUCCCACAAUAUUUUGACAAAACUACCUGGGGUUGCGUCUGGAGUUCUCAGAUAAAUACUGGGGGUCGGCAUGGCAAAGAAAUGGCUGUGCGUGUUGUGCACAAGGUGAGGGGUACUUGGCAAGGUCACGAGGUGGCCUUUUAUAUAGCAUUGGGGUUGGGUUAUUUACCAUGGUGA